Molecule: RNA transcript, 1944 nt
Organism: Tigriopus californicus
Lineage: Eukaryota; Metazoa; Arthropoda; Copepoda; Harpacticoida; Harpacticidae
Exons: 6
Source: RefSeq, a predicted model, not a curated record
UCUUGGAAGCAUGUGUUUUCAUUUCAACACGAAUUGAGUCAUCCGUGAUUGAUGGGACAUUUCGAUCAUGGAGCGUUUCCUACGGAAUCUCGUUCUCCUGUCUCUGGCUAGACUUCUCUCGGCCUUUGUGCCCACUUUGAACCAAUGUCAUCAGACUUGUGGUCGAGUCCAAUCCCCGCACGGUCGCCCUAAGAGAUUUGCACUAGAAGACGAACUCGAUCUAUACUCGUACGAGGAGGAUCAAUUUCCUUCCGAGGCGAUACCACGUGGGGCCGAAUACGAUCCCUAUUAUGAUCUCAAUGGGGGUUUGUCAGAAGCGUCCAAUAUCAGCGAUUCGGAUACCAGAAUUGUGAAUGGCUACGAUGCGGCGGAUCGUCCUUGGUUGGCUUUGCUCAGCAUUUCUGGCGCAUCCUGUGGAGGAGCCCUUCUCAACAAAAGAUACAUUCUGACUGCGGCUCACUGCUUCUGUCGACAAUCAGGAGGAGCCAUUUGUGAGGAGCAAAUGACCGACGGAUUGCCCACUCAUCAGCCGACCUAUGAUCUCACCCAGACAGUGGUGGUUUUCCUCGGGAUCAAUGGGAGCCCCUUGCGAACGAAGGGAAGAAAUAGGGACCAAAUCUACCGGGUUAUUUCUGCCAAGAUCAGAGCCGGCUGGUAUUUUGGCAAGACAUUUUCACCGGACUUGGCAUUAGCCAAGUUGGAUCGAGAUGUUGUCUUUUCUGCGAGUGUUUUUCCCAUUUGUAUUCCCAUUGCCAAUGACUUCCCCGACAUCUCGAAUCGAGACCAAAAGCUCCAGGCGUUCGUGGCCGGUUGGGGUGCGGUGUAUUCGCAAUGCGAUACCAACGACCAAGGUCCGAGUCCUCACACCAUGUGCAAGUUCCCGUUUGUUUACCAAGGCAUGGUACACCAUCAAUGCGCUCAAAUGCCACCACCCAGUCACGACAAUCCCGUCUGUCAGCAAUUCCUUCGAUGGCACUCACGCGUAGGGUCCCGCGGGAGGAUCCAAAUGGGUCAGGAGGGCACUUUUUCCAUCUUCUAUUGGGACGACGCAGCUGGAAGAGCCGAGCGAACCACGUGUUAUAUGCCCAAUGAUCGCACCUCUCGCUUCGGCUGGUGUGGCACGUGCUACUCGGGAAAUUUGAAUCCAGGACAAGAGGGAUACUGCGACAAGUUUCUUAGUGGAACCGAGCUCAAUACAACCACCGAAUUUAGCCGCCCGCAACUGGAUCAGAACUGGGGGUGGUGCAAUCAAUGGUGCGAAAAUGCCAGGGGUCAAACUAAUGCUCAGCGUUUACAAGAAACGGCGCUAGACAUCUUGACCCCGGAGGAGUGCCAAACGUUUGGCGCCAGUUUAGAGGUGAAUGCCAGCUCAGAAAUCUGCACGGGUCGGAAGAAGAACUUCGACCUGGUGUACCAAUUCCGGCGGGUCGAAAGUGGACGAGGCAUGAAAUUCAAGGAGGAAGCCAAAUUUCAGAACAAGCUUGGCCUUGCCGAUGAUGACCACGAUUUUUAUUUGGGAGGCACGGACUCUUGUCAAGCAGGUGCCGGAUUAACGUGCAUUGGUGUAAUCAUAAGUGUCGCAACUGGGUUGCAAGAUUACCAAUUUCUAAUUGGCACCAAUGUGCGGUGGCUUUAACAUCAACUCUAUUGUUCAUUUUCAUUCACCAUAUUUGCUUGGUCAGUUAUGAAGUUGUGAGGAAAGCACACGUGAUAGUGGAGGUCCGUUGAUUCGUUGGGAACGGGUGGAUGGAUCUAAUUUACGGGCCUAUAUCAUAGGCACCGUGAGCCGUGGCAUCGGAUGUGGUAACUUCAAUCAACCUGGCAUUUUCACUCGGACUACAAGCCACCUAGAUUGGCUUUAUGAGAACAUCAAAGAUGGCAACUGCUAAUAGACACACGAGAUGAAAUGCAAAUACAUAUUGUGUGUUAUUAUGCUAAACCUUA